Molecule: ribosomal RNA, 504 nt
Filed under: uncultured bacterium
Lineage: Bacteria
Description: partial 16S ribosomal RNA
Rfam family: Bacterial small subunit ribosomal RNA
Source: RNAcentral
GACGAACGCUGGUGGCGCGCUUAAUACAUGCAAGUCGAACGGUAGCACAGAGAGCUUGCUCUCGGGUGACGAGUGGCGGACGGGUGAGUAAGGUCUGGGAAACGGCCGGAGGGAGGGGGAUACCUCUGGGAAACGGUAGCUAAUACCGCUUAACGUCGCAAGACCAAAGAGGGGGACCUUCGGGCCCCUUGCCAUCAGACGUCCCCAGAUGGGAUUAGCUAGUAGGUGGGGUAACGGCUCACCUAGGCGACGAUCCCUAGCUGGUCUGAGAGGAUGACCAGCCACACUGGAACUGAGACACGGUCCAGACUCCUACGGGAGGCAGCAGUGGGGAAUAUUGCACAAUGGGCGCAAGCCUGAUGCAGCCAUGCCGCGUGUAUGAAGAAGGCCUUCGGGUUGUAAAGUACUUUCAGCGGGGAGGAAGGGAGUAAGGUUAAUAACCUUGCUCAUUGACGUUAACCGCAGAAGAAGCACCGGCUAACUCCGUGCCAGCCGCCGCAGUAA